CCAAGGCUUGACAUAUAGAGGAAAAGUGCAGAAAUGCACUCCCCGCAAGGUCUCUAUACAGGUGGUGCAUGGUUGUCGUCAGCUCGUGUCGUGAGAUGUUGGGUUAAGCCCCGCAACGAGCGCAANCCUCGUCCUAUGUUGCCAGCACGUUAUGGUGGGAACUCAUGGGAUACUGCCGGGGUCAACUCGGAGGAAGGUGGGGAUGACGUCAAAUCAUCACGCCCCUUAUGUCUUGGGCUUCACGCAUGCUACAAUGGCCGGUACAGAGGGCAGCAAUACCGCAAGGUGGAGCGAAUCCCAAAAAGCCGGUCUCAGUUCGGAUUGAGGUCUGCAACUCGACCUCAUGAAGUUGGAGUCGCUAGUAAUCGUGGAUCAGCAACGCCACGGUGAAUACGUUCCCGGGUCUUGUACACACGCAAUC
Molecule: ribosomal RNA, 421 nt
Filed under: uncultured bacterium
Lineage: Bacteria
Description: bacterial SSU rRNA
Rfam family: Bacterial small subunit ribosomal RNA
Source: RNAcentral